This 460-nucleotide ribosomal RNA is filed under the name uncultured bacterium. RNAcentral describes it as "partial 16S ribosomal RNA". It matches the Rfam family "Bacterial small subunit ribosomal RNA", at positions 338 to 795 of the family's 1533-position model. The record is from RNAcentral.
CCUACGGGCGGCAGCAGAGAGGAAUAUUGGUCAAUGGACGAGAGUCUGAACCAGCCAAGUAGCGUGAAGGAUGACUGCCCUAUGGGUUGUAAACUUCUUUUAUAUGGGAAUAAAACGUUCCACGUGUGGGAUUUUGUAUGUACCAUAUGAAUAAGGAUCGGCUAACUCCGUGCCAGCAGCCGCGGUAAUACGGAGGAUCCGAGCGUUAUCCGGAUUUAUUGGGUUUAAAGGGAGCGUAGGUGGAUUGUUAAGUCAGUUGUGAAAGUUUGCGGCUCAACCGUAAAAUUGCAGUUGAAACUGGCAGUCUUGAGUACAGUAGAGGUGGGCGGAAUUCGUGGUGUAGCGGUGAAAUGCUUAGAUAUCACGAAGAACUCCGAUUGCGAAGGCAGUUCACUGGACUGCAACUGACACUGAGGCUCGAAAGUGUGGGUAUCAAACAGGAUUAGAUACCCGUGUAGUC